RNAcentral lists this ribosomal RNA (300 nucleotides) under uncultured Oleiphilaceae bacterium. RNAcentral describes it as "bacterial SSU rRNA". It matches the Rfam family "Bacterial small subunit ribosomal RNA", at positions 114 to 413 of the family's 1533-position model. The record is from RNAcentral. Lineage: Bacteria; Pseudomonadati; Pseudomonadota; Gammaproteobacteria; Oceanospirillales; Oleiphilaceae.
CGCGUAGGAACCUGCCCAGUAGUGGGGAGUAGCCCGGUCGAAACCGGAACGUUAAUUAACCGCAUACACUCUACGGAGGGAAAGGGGGCGUUCGGCUCUCGCUAUUGGAAUGGGCCGUGCGUGAGAUUAGCUAGUUGGUGAGGUAAUGGCUCACCAAGGCGACGAUCUCUAGCUGGUCUGAGAGGAUGAUCAGCCACACUGGGACUGAGACACGGCCCAGACUCCUACGGGAGGCAGCAGUGGGGAAAUAUUGCACAAUGGGCGCAAGCCUGAUGCAGCCAUGCCGCGUGUGUGAAAGAA